Molecule: transfer RNA, 82 nt
Filed under: Schistocephalus solidus
Lineage: Eukaryota; Metazoa; Platyhelminthes; Cestoda; Diphyllobothriidea; Diphyllobothriidae
Rfam family: tRNA
About the family: Transfer RNA (tRNA) molecules are approximately 80 nucleotides in length. Their secondary structure includes four short double-helical elements and three loops (D, anti-codon, and T loops).
Source: Rfam by way of RNAcentral
GGCCUCGUAGCUCAGUUGGCCAGAGCGUUGCCUAUAUUAAGCCUUCCUCUUGCUGGCGUUAGUUCGAAUCCCACCUAGGCCA